GGCUCAACCUUGAGCUUGCAUCGGGUACGGGCAGACUAGAGUGCGGUAGGGGUGACUGGAAUUCCUGGUGUAGCGGUGGAAUGCGCAGAUAUCAGGAGGAACACCGAUGGCGAAGGCAGGUCACUGGGCCGCAACUGACGCUGAGGAGCGAAAGCAUGGGGAGCGAACAGGAUUAGAUACCCUGGUAGUCCAUGCCCGUAAACGUUGGGCACUAGGUGUGGGGCUCAUUCCACGAGUUCCGUGCCGCAGCAAACGCAUUAAGUGCCCCGCCUGGGGAGUACGGCCGCAAGGCUAAAACUCAAAGGAAUUGACGGGGGCCCGCACAAGCGGCGGAGCAUGCGGAUUAAUUCGAUGCAACGCGAAGAACCUUACCAAGGCUUGACAUACACCGGAAACUUCCAGAGAUGGUUGCCCCGCAAGGUCGGUGUACAGGUGGUGCAUGGUUGUCGUCAGCUCGUGUCGUGAGAUGUUGGGUUAAGUCCCGCAACGAGCGCAACCCUCGUCUUAUGUUGCCAGCACGUCAUGGUGGGGACUCAUAAGAGACUGCCGGGGUCAACUCGGAGGAAGGUGGGGAUGACGUCAAAUCAUCAUGCCCCUUAUGUCUUGGGCUUCACGCAUGCUACAAUGGCCGGUACAAAGGGCUGCGAUACCGCGAGGUGGAGCGAAUCCCAAAAAGCCGGUCUCAGUUCGGAUUGGGGUCUGCAACUCGACCCCAUGAAGUCGGAGUCGCUAGUAAUCGCAGAUCAGCAACGCUGCGGUGAAUACGUUCCCGGGCCUUGUACACACCGCCCGUCAAGUCACGAAAGUCGGUAACACCCGAAGCCGGUGGCCCAACCCUUGUGGAGGGAGCUGUCGAAGGUGGGGCUGGAAUCGUCGACCUGCAGGCAUGCAAGCUGCACUGCCGCAUACCC
Molecule: ribosomal RNA, 911 nt
Filed under: Cellulomonas sp. A15
Lineage: Bacteria; Bacillati; Actinomycetota; Actinomycetes; Micrococcales; Cellulomonadaceae
Description: bacterial SSU rRNA
Rfam family: Bacterial small subunit ribosomal RNA
Source: RNAcentral